Long non-coding RNA from Zea mays, 474 nucleotides. RefSeq lists it as uncharacterized. Lineage: Eukaryota; Viridiplantae; Streptophyta; Magnoliopsida; Poales; Poaceae. The transcript has 4 exons. The record is from RefSeq and is a predicted model, not a curated record.
GGUGGAAAGAAUUUAUGGUGGUAUCCGAGACACAUAUCGAAGCGGACCAUCCAAAGUGAUCUUCAUUUCAAAAAACUGCUUAAUGUUAUUGCCAAGCUUGUUGCUGUAUUGGGAAUACUGCGAGGUACGACGGAGUCCAGUGAUUUGAAAAAAGGUUUGGUUAAUGCUAUUCAAGACCUAUAUGAUGUUGUUCAUCAUGAAGCGUUUUCAGUUGAUAUGAGUGGCCACAUUGAAGACUGGGAUCAAAUUAAUUUAGCAAGGGCUGAAGGUCGCCUCUUCAAUAAACUCAAGUGGCCAAAUGAUCCCAAAUUGAAAGACUUGAUCAAGAGAUUGUAUUCACUUCUGACAAUUAAAGAAUCUCCUGCAACUAUCCCUAAAAAUUUAGAAGCAAGGCGAAGACUUCAGUUCUUUUACGAACUCACUGUUCAUGGAAAUGCCUGUUGCACGGCCUGUUUCGGAAAUGGUCUCCUUUAG